UACGUAGGGGGCGAGCGUUACCCGGAUUUACUGGGCGUAAAGGGGGCGUAGGCGGCCGUGAAAGUCCGGUGUGAAAACUCACGGCUCAACCGUGGGACUGCGCUGGAAACUACACGGCUUGAGGACGGUAGAGGGAGACGGAACUGCUGGUGUAGGGGUGAAAUCCGUAGAUAUCAGCAGGAACGCCGGUGGAGAAGUCGGUCUCCUGGGCCGUUCCUGACGCUGAGGCUCGAAAGCGUGGGUAGCAAACAGG
This 253-nucleotide ribosomal RNA is filed under the name uncultured microorganism. Its description in RNAcentral is "partial 16S ribosomal RNA". It matches the Rfam family "Bacterial small subunit ribosomal RNA", at positions 524 to 776 of the family's 1533-position model. The record is from RNAcentral.